RNAcentral lists this ribosomal RNA (251 nucleotides) under uncultured prokaryote. Its description in RNAcentral is "partial 16S rRNA". It matches the Rfam family "Bacterial small subunit ribosomal RNA", at positions 525 to 775 of the family's 1533-position model. The record is from RNAcentral.
ACGUAGGGGGCAAGCGUUGUCCGGAAUUACUGGGUGUAAAGGGAGCGCAGGCGGCUGAAUAAGUCAGGGGUGAAAUCCCGGGGCUUAACCCAGAAACUGCCGUUGAAACUGUUUGACUUGAGUCUAGUAGAGGUAGGCGGAAUUCCGAGUGUAGCGGUGAAAUGCGUAGAUAUUAGGAGGAACACCGGUGGCGAAGGCGGCUUACUGGGCUAUAACUGACGCUGAGGCGCGAAAGUGUGGGGAGCAAACAG